Molecule: ribosomal RNA, 393 nt
Filed under: uncultured bacterium
Lineage: Bacteria
Description: partial 16S ribosomal RNA
Rfam family: Bacterial small subunit ribosomal RNA
Source: RNAcentral
AUACGGAGGAUGCGAGCGUUAUCCGGAUUUAUUGGGUUUAAAGGGUGCGUAGGCUGUGCGUUAAGUCAGGGGUGAAAUGCCGUCGCUCAACGACGGAGCUGCCCUUGAUACUGGCGUGCUGGAGUACGGAUGCCGUUGGAGGAAUGAGUGGUGUAGCGGUGAAAUGCUUAGAUAUCACUCAGAACACCGAUUGCGAAGGCAUCUGACGAAUCCGUCACUGACGCUGAGGCACGAAAGCGUGGGGAUAGAACAGGAUUAGAUACCCUGGUAUUCCACGCCGUAAACGAUGAUGACUAACCGUCGGCGAUAGACAGCCGGCGGCCAAGCAAAAGCGAUAAGUCAUCCACCUGGGGAGUACGUCGGCAACGAUGAAACUCAAAGGAAUUGACGGGG